GUGAUACUGAGCAUCCACCUGUGUGAUUGGCACAAUGUGAAAGAGGGGAAAAGAGUGGAGGAGGAAGAGACAGGAGAGCUGAUAUGAAACUCUUGUUAUUUAUGAGGAUCACAAUCAAGAGUUUAAAGACAACCGGUCUCUGCUCCAGCCACACAGGACUUCUUCUAGUACCUUUACUACAUCAUGCCUCCCCUGCCUCAGGCUUCUGCUGGGAUGGAUCGAGCACAUUCACCCUAAAAUUCUGAUUCAGAAGAUCUGAGCCUUCUGAAAAAAAAGCAUUGAGAGCAUAAACCACUCAGAAGAUUUAUAGCUUAAAGCAGAUCACCUUAAGGUACUGGAAUCAGUCAGUGCUUAGAUGGAACAUUUUUUGAGGCCUACAUCUUCACUGAGUGCCCUUCUUCUCUAUUUCCUAUACUUCCUUGUUUCUUUCUGUUCCCACUGCAUCCCUUAUGGAUUUGUACAAAUAAUGCUGGGUUCUUUUCUUCACCCACAUGCAGCAGUUGCUGCUGGAUCAUAACCAUUCCUUCUAUUGGUUUUAAAAUCUGUUUUUCUCAGAUUCCUUACACUUGAAGGAAAAAAAAAAAGGACAUUUAGCCUGUUUUUCUUUUAAGCAAUAAAAAUUCUUCUCUCAGAGAAUGACUGCAAUAGGAAACACAGUGAAAUCAAAAGUACCCUCAUCAACUCACUCUGUCACAAACUUCCUCCAAAUGUGUUAAUGAUUUUCUGAGACACAUUUUCAAAGGAUUAUUUAUAAGAACGAGACAAAAUUAAGCCAAAGUCCAUAUUACGUGAAACUUCAUCUCCUAGGCUUUGUAAAGAAAAGCUAAAGGAUACAGGACACAUCUGACCCAGGAAUCUAAGCAAGUAACAUACUACCUGGCUAAUCCAGUUGAGGUGAAGGUCACAAUACUGAAUUUGAAUAUGCUGUGUUCUCUACUGUAAAUAAAGUAUUUUGUUUAUCUUUUCAUGCC
RNAcentral lists this long non-coding RNA (971 nucleotides) under Homo sapiens (human). Its description in RNAcentral is "long non-coding RNA NONHSAT152567.1". The record is from RNAcentral. Lineage: Eukaryota; Metazoa; Chordata; Mammalia; Primates; Hominidae.